CUACCUCUUGAUGCUGGGGGAUAACUUAGCCGAAAGGUUAGCGUAAUACCGCAUACNAUCGUUUUGGGGCAUCUCGAGACGAUGAAAGGAGCAAUCCGCACGGAGAGGGGACUGCGUCCCAUUAGUUAGUUGGUGGGGUAACGGCCUACCAAGACUCCGAUGGGUAGCUGGCUUGAGAGAGCGACCAGCNCACACUGGAACUGAGNACACGGUCCAGACUCCUACGGGAGGCAGCAGUGNAGGAAUUUUCCGCAAUGGGCGCAAGCCUGACGNAGCGACGCCGCGUGUGGGNAUGAAGGCCUUCGNGGUCGUAAACCACUNUCGAAGGGGACGAUAAUGACCG
RNAcentral lists this ribosomal RNA (343 nucleotides) under uncultured bacterium. RNAcentral's name for it is "partial 16S ribosomal RNA". It matches the Rfam family "Bacterial small subunit ribosomal RNA", at positions 122 to 457 of the family's 1533-position model. The record is from RNAcentral.